GUUAGGAAUAUUGGACAAUGGGCGCAAGCCUGAUCCAGCCAUGCCGCGUGAACGAUGAAGGCCUUCGGGUUGUAAAGUUCUUUAGCCGAUGAUUAUAAUGACUGUAGUCGGAAAAUAAGCCCCGGCUAACUUCGUGCCAGCAGCCGCGGUAAUACGAAGGGGGCGAGCGUUAUUCGGAAUCACUGGGCGUAAAGCGUGCGUAGGCGGUCUCGUAAGUUAGGAGUGAAAGCCCAGGGCUCAACCUUGGAAUUGCUCUUAAAACUGCAAGGCUAGAAUCUCGGAGAGGAUAGCGGAAUUUCCAGUGUAGCAGUGAAAUGCGUAGAUAUUGGAAGGAACACCAGUGGCGUAAGCGGCUAUCUGGACGAGUAUUGACGCUGAGGCACGAAAGCGUGGGGAUCAAACAGGAUUAGAUACCGAGUAGUCC
RNAcentral lists this ribosomal RNA (424 nucleotides) under uncultured bacterium. RNAcentral describes it as "partial 16S ribosomal RNA". It matches the Rfam family "Bacterial small subunit ribosomal RNA", at positions 354 to 796 of the family's 1533-position model. The record is from RNAcentral.